CAGCAGCCGCGGUAAUACGUAGGUCCCGAGCGUUGUCCGGAUUUAUUGGGCGUAAAGCGAGCGCAGGCGGUUAGAUAAGUCUGAAGUUAAAGGCUGUGGCUUAACCAUAGUACGCUUUGGAAACUGUUUAACUUGAGUGCAAGAGGGGAGAGUGGAAUUCCAUGUGUAGCGGUGAAAUGCGUAGAUAUAUGGAGGAACACCGGUGGCGAAAGCGGCUCUCUGGCUUGUAACUGACGCUGAGGCUCGAAAGCGUGGGGAGCAAACAGGAUUAGAUACCCCCGUAGUCCCUGUCUCUUUACAC
RNAcentral lists this ribosomal RNA (301 nucleotides) under uncultured bacterium. RNAcentral's name for it is "partial 16S ribosomal RNA". It matches the Rfam family "Bacterial small subunit ribosomal RNA", at positions 509 to 809 of the family's 1533-position model. The record is from RNAcentral.